RNAcentral lists this long non-coding RNA (1329 nucleotides) under Sus scrofa (pig). RNAcentral describes it as "lncRNA (ENSSSCG00035079854.1)". The record is from RNAcentral. Lineage: Eukaryota; Metazoa; Chordata; Mammalia; Artiodactyla; Suidae.
CAUGGAUACUAGUCAGAUUCCUUACCACUGAGCCACAAUGGGAACUCCCCUAGAUGGAUCAUUUUUCUAAUCCAUCAAGCUUCUCCUGAAUUAUAUUCAAGCUUCCUUAGACUGAGUGUUUUCCAUCUAAUACUCCAGGAUAAGCCAGGAUCUAAUUCUGGUCCUGCUUUUAUACAUUUUUAACUUCACUCAUCCAUUUACUCAACUGCUACUUUUCCCCCUUUGCACCACCCACUCCUCUAGCUCGCGGUGCCCAAGGCAGUCCCUGGCCUUUUUGGAGAUCACAGCCUUAGCGAGGACUACUGAAAUGAAACCAAAGGGGGUGUCCUUGUGGAAACAUAUGGCUGGGGCUGAAAGAAUGGGAGGAGCAACUGUAUUUCAGGAAUGUCGGGUGUGCUGUGGUUAAAACAAACAAAACAACAGAAAACAAUCAAAACACCUCCAAAAUGCAAUAAUGUUAUGCAAUGAAGAUUUUCUUGCACACACAUUCCAUUGCAGACUGUGUGACUCUCCAAGGCAGCCAUCCUUUCUACAGAAAUCAUGACUGCUUGUUUCUCCUGGUGUCUUACCAACAUGUGCCAGCUUCCAGGUGAGGCAGAAAAAGCGGACCUGGUGGGGGUGGUGUCUCACACCUGCAUUUAAGCGCCUUUGAGUGGAAGAACCCCCACCCUGCUCUCUCCUGCUCACGUGCCAUUGGCUGGGACAGAUCACGUGGCCGCAGCUAAGCGCAGGGGAGGCUGGGAGAGACGCCUUGCCCAGAGCAGGUGCAGGUGGAGGAGAUGGACAGACGGGCACAUGGCAUCGUCUCUUCUGCGGUGACUCACGUGGCUGGAGCCCAGAAAGAGAAGCUCGGCACCGGCUGCUGCAUGCCUGCCAGGAACCCAUGAGAAACCAAUAUGAACAGGACAUCUUAGAAGCCAUUGAUCACAUCUAUGUUGACUAUUUUUUGGUGGAGGGAGGUAUGCCCAUGUGCUUGAGCUUCUGUUUCUGCUUUGUGUUUCUAGCACAAAUUUCAGUAAAGGUAGCAUUUCUAGGCAAUUUAAGCUCUGGAUAACAAAAUCAGGUAGCCGUUCCCUCAAAUCUUCUCUAGAAGACAGUAGAUUAGGUGUAAAUGAAUACGACUCCAUCUUUGGAGUCUCCUCAGGUGUCCAUAACUUAGAUAGUACAGUCCUCCUAGAGGUCAGGACACAGGUCCCAGAACUAGUCUGCCCAGGGUGAAUGCCAACCCCACUGCUAAUUAGACAAGUGACCUUGAAAAGGAAAUUAGCAUCCCUGUGCCUUAGUUUCCUCACAUGUGGAGCAGGAAUAAUAAAUGGUACCCGCCUCACA